Molecule: long non-coding RNA, 406 nt
Filed under: Homo sapiens (human)
Lineage: Eukaryota; Metazoa; Chordata; Mammalia; Primates; Hominidae
Description: HSALNT0325304
Source: RNAcentral
CUGAAAGUGAGAAAACGGUGCAUUACCAAGGUAGAAAAUCACUUAGCUCCUUAGAGCAAAGAAAGCAUGCAACUCAAAACCAAAAGGAGUUUUGCUGAUGGAGGGGACUAUAUAUUAUUGAGCAAUGGCACAAAGGCCUGACCAGGUGGAGAAGAAAUGAGGUUACCUUUCUAGGUCCCUGAUCUUGACAAACAUGGAAGAUGGAUCCUGCAAAUUGUUGAUGGAUACAGAGACAGAGAUCAAGAUGCUAGAAAGAACCUGGAUUUAGGAAUCCUGAUGCAAUAUUAGUCUCUAUCAGAGACGAAUUAAAAUCUCUGGAGUGAUUCAUUCAAGUUUGAAACAAUGGCUGUUUGAAGUAGAUAUUUGAGUACUGUUGGAUAAUUUUAAUAGCGAAUAACUCAAAUCC